CUACGGGCUGCACCAGUCGAGAAUCUUCCGCAAUGGGCGAAAGCCUGACGGAGCGACGCCGCGUGCCUGAAGAAGUCAUUAGAUGUAAAGGGCUUUUCUGGAAGAAGAAUCCUUCGGGAAGACAUUAUUCCAGGAAUAAGGGGUCUCUAAACUCGUGCCAGCAGAGGCGGUAAGACGAGUACCCCAAGCGUUAUCCGGAUUUACUGGGCGUGAAGCGUCUGUAGGCGGUCAGAAAAGUUUCUAGUUAAAAACCAGGGCUUAACCUUGGAAGUGCUAGGGAUACUCUCUGACUAGAGGGUGUCAGAGGCUGUUGGAACCGACGGUGUAGGGGUGAAAUCCGUUGAUAUCGUCGGGAACACCAAAAGCGAAGGCAUUCAGCUGGGGCAACCCUGACGCUGAGAGACGAAAGUGUGGGGAGCAAAAAGGAUUAGAUACCCUAGUAGUC
Molecule: ribosomal RNA, 445 nt
Filed under: uncultured bacterium
Lineage: Bacteria
Description: partial 16S ribosomal RNA
Rfam family: Bacterial small subunit ribosomal RNA
Source: RNAcentral